RNAcentral lists this ribosomal RNA (522 nucleotides) under Achromobacter sp. IR27. Its description in RNAcentral is "bacterial SSU rRNA". It matches the Rfam family "Bacterial small subunit ribosomal RNA", at positions 1 to 522 of the family's 1533-position model. Lineage: Bacteria; Pseudomonadati; Pseudomonadota; Betaproteobacteria; Burkholderiales; Alcaligenaceae. The record is from RNAcentral.
UGGAGAGUUUGAUCCUGGCUCAGAUUGAACGCUAGCGGGAUGCCUUACACAUGCAAGUCGAACGGCAGCACGGACUUCGGUCUGGUGGCGAGUGGCGAACGGGUGAGUAAUGUAUCGGAACGUGCCUAGUAGCGGGGGAUAACUACGCGAAAGCGUAGCUAAUACCGCAUACGCCCUACGGGGGAAAGCAGGGGAUCGCAAGACCUUGCACUAUUAGAGCGGCCGAUAUCGGAUUAGCUAGUUGGUGGGGUAACGGCUCACCAAGGCGACGAUCCGUAGCUGGUUUGAGAGGACGACCAGCCACACUGGGACUGAGACACGGCCCAGACUCCUACGGGAGGCAGCAGUGGGGAAUUUUGGACAAUGGGGGAAACCCUGAUCCAGCCAUCCCGCGUGUGCGAUGAAGGCCUUCGGGUUGUAAAGCACUUUUGGCAGGAAAGAAACGUCAUGGGCUAAUACCCCGUGAAACUGACGGUACCUGCAGAAUAAGCACCGGCUAACUACGUGCCAGCAGCCGCGGUA